GAUGAAGAACGUAGUGAAAUGCGAUAAGUAAUGUGAAUUGCAGAAUUCAGUGAAUCAUCGAAUCUUUGAACGCACAUUGCGCCCCCUGGUAUUCCGGGGGGCAUGCCUGUUCGAGCGUCAUUUCACCACUCAAGCCUCGCUUGGUAUUAGGCAACGCGGUCCGCCGCGUGCCUCAAAUCGACCGGCUGGGUCUUCUGUCCCCUAAGCGUUGUGGAAACUAUUCGCUAAAGGGUGUUCGGGAGGCUACGCCGUAAAACAACCCCAUUUCUAAGGUUGACCUCGGAUCAGGUAGGGAUACCCGCUGAACUUAAGCAUAUCAAUAAGCGGAGGA
Molecule: unclassified non-coding RNA, 331 nt
Filed under: soil metagenome
Description: partial contains 5.8S ribosomal RNA, internal transcribed spacer 2, and large subunit ribosomal RNA
Rfam family: 5.8S ribosomal RNA (bases 1-120)
Source: RNAcentral